RNAcentral lists this ribosomal RNA (442 nucleotides) under uncultured bacterium. Its description in RNAcentral is "partial 16S ribosomal RNA". It matches the Rfam family "Bacterial small subunit ribosomal RNA", at positions 338 to 795 of the family's 1533-position model. The record is from RNAcentral.
CCUACGGGAGGCUGCAGUGGGGAAUAUUGGGCAAUGGGCGCAAGCCUGACCCAGCCACGCCGCGUGAAGGAAGAAGGCUUUCGGGUUGUAAACUUCUUUUAAGAGGGAAGAGCAGAAGACGGUACCUCUUGAAUAAGCUACGGCUAACUACGUGCCAGCAGCUGCGGGAAUACGUAGGUGGCAAGCGUUGUCCGGAUUUCGUGGGUGUAACGGGCGUGUAGCCGGGCUGACAAGUCAGAUGUGAAAGCCCGUGGCUCAACCACGGAACUGCAUUUGAAGCUGUCGGUCUUGUGUUGCGGAGAGGCAGGCGGAAUGCGUGGUGUAGCGGUGAAAUGCGUAGAUAUUAGGAGGAACACCAGUGGCGAAGGCGGCCUGCUGGACGACAACUGACGGUGAGGCGCGAAAGCGUGGGGAGCGAACAGGAUUAGAUACCCGAGUAGUC